This 253-nucleotide ribosomal RNA is filed under the name uncultured prokaryote. RNAcentral describes it as "partial 16S ribosomal RNA". It matches the Rfam family "Bacterial small subunit ribosomal RNA", at positions 525 to 777 of the family's 1533-position model. The record is from RNAcentral.
ACGAAGGGUGCAAGCGUUAGUCGGAAUUACUGGGCGUAAGGCGUGCGUAGGCGGUCUCUUAAGUCCGUUGUGAAAGCCCUGGGCUCAACCUGGGAACUGCAGUGGAUACUGAGAAGCUAGAGUGUGUCAGAGGAUGGUGGAAUUCCCGGUGUAGCGGUGAAAUGCGUAGAUAUCGGGAGGAACGCCAGUGGCGAAGGCGGUCACCUGGGCCGUCCCUGACGCUGAGACGCGAAAGCUGGGGGAGCGAACGGGA